Paramuricea clavata is the source of this 208-nucleotide non-coding RNA. The record is from the annotation of a GenBank genome assembly. NCBI's taxonomy places the organism in Eukaryota, Metazoa, Cnidaria, Anthozoa, Malacalcyonacea, Plexauridae.
CCUUCCCAAAGUUCUCAACUACAUGCUCUUUGCUUUCCAUACGCAAAUUAACCGUGUCUCUUGUACUCCAUCGUCAUCCUCAUCAGAAUCCACUGUGUAAAUGAGCGUUUUUUUCUCCGUUUUUACCACCUCUGCAUAACUUCUACGUAAAUAUAAAACGAUAAAUUAUCUGAGAUAUAUAAGUAAAGUAAACCUAUAAAUAAAAAAG